GAUGAACGCUGGCGGCGUGCCUAAUACAUGCAAGUCGAGCGAACGGACGAGAAGCUUGCUUCUCUGAUGUUAGCGGCGGACGGGUGAGUAACACGUGGAUAACCUACCUAUAGGACUGGGAUAACUUCGGGAAACCGGAGCUAAUACCGGAUAAUAUUUUGAACCGCAUGGUUCAAAAGUGAAAGACGGUCUUGCUGUCACUUAUAGAUGGAUCCGCGCUGCAUUAGCUAGUUGGUAAGGUAACGGCUUACCAAGGCAACGAUGCAUAGCCGACCUGAGAGGGUGAUCGGCCACACUGGAACUGAGACACGGUCCAGACUCCUACGGGAGGCAGCAGUAGGGAAUCUUCCGCAAUGGGCGAAAGCCUGACGGAGCAACGCCGCGUGAGUGAUGAAGGUCUUCGGAUCGUAAAACUCUGUUAUUAGGGAAGAACAUAUGUGUAAGUAACUGUGCACAUCUUGACGGUACCUAAUCAGAAAGCCACGGCUAACUACGUGCCAGCAGCCGCGGUAAUACGUAGGUGGCAAGCGUUAUCCGGAAUUAUUGGGCGUAAAGCGCGCGUAGGCGGUUUUUUAAGUCUGAUGUGAAAGCCCACGGCUCAACCGUGGAGGGUCAUUGGAAACUGGAAAACUUGAGUGCAGAAGAGGAAAGUGGAAUUCCAUGUGUAGCGGUGAAAUGCGCAGAGAUAUGGAGGAACACCAGUGGCGAAGGCGACUUUCUGGUCUGUAACUGACGCUGAUGUGCGAAAGCGUGGGGAUCAAACAGGAUUAGAUACCCUGGUAGUCCACGCCGUAAACGAUGAGUGCUAAGUGUUAGGGGGUUUCCGCCCCUUAGUGCUGCAGCUAACGCAUUAAGCACUCCGCCUGGGGAGUACGACCGCAAGGUUGAAACUCAAAGGAAUUGACGGGGACCCGCACAAGCGGUGGAGCAUGUGGUUUAAUUCGAAGCAACGCGAAGAACCUUACCAAAUCUUGACAUCCUUUGACAACUCUAGAGAUAGAGCCUUCCCCUUCGGGGGACAAAGUGACAGGUGGUGCAUGGUUGUCGUCAGCUCGUGUCGUGAGAUGUUGGGUUAAGUCCCGCAACGAGCGCAACCCUUAAGCUUAGUUGCCAUCAUUAAGUUGGGCACUCUAAGUUGACUGCCGGUGACAAACCGGAGGAAGGUGGGGAUGACGUCAAAUCAUCAUGCCCCUUAUGAUUUGGGCUACACAUGUGCUACAAUGGACAAUACAAAGGGCAGCGAAACCGCGAGGUCAAGCAAAUCCCAUAAAGUUGUUCUCAGUUCGGAUUGUAGUCUGCAACUCGACUACAUGAAGCUGGAAUCGCUAGUAAUCGUAGAUCAGCAUGCUACGGUGAAUACGUUCCCGGGUCU
Molecule: ribosomal RNA, 1372 nt
Filed under: uncultured bacterium
Lineage: Bacteria
Description: bacterial SSU rRNA
Rfam family: Bacterial small subunit ribosomal RNA
Source: RNAcentral